AAGGUAGAGUCUGCGUUGAACACCAGAACAUAGGCCCGGAAGCAGCCCCUGUGCUUGGAAAGCGUAAUAGCUCACUGGUCUAGCAGUACUCCGCUUAUAUAUGUCCGGCACUACAAAUUGCCGAAGCCCGCCUAUGACAA
RNAcentral lists this ribosomal RNA (140 nucleotides) under Chlamydomonas incerta. RNAcentral describes it as "L5 ribosomal RNA". Lineage: Eukaryota; Viridiplantae; Chlorophyta; Chlorophyceae; Chlamydomonadales; Chlamydomonadaceae. The record is from RNAcentral.